GAUGAACGCUGGCGGCGUGCCUAAUACAUGCAAGUCGAGCGAACAGACGAGGAGCUUGCUCCUCUGACGUUAGCGGCGGACGGGUGAGUAACACGUGGAUAACCCACCUAUAAGACUGGGAUAACUUCGGGAAACCGGAGCUAAUACCGGAUAAUAUAUUGAACCGCAUGGUUCAAUAGUGAAAGACGGAUUUGCUGUCACUUAUAGAUGGAUCCGCGCCGCAUUAGCUAGUUGGUAAGGUAACGGCUUACCAAGGCAACGAUGCGUAGCCGACCUGAGAGGGUGAUCGGCCACACUGGAACUGAGACACGGUCCAGACUCCUACGGGAGGCAGCAGUAGGGAAUCUUCCGCAAUGGGCGAAAGCCUGACGGAGCAACGCCGCGUGAGUGAUGAAGGUCUUCGGAUCGUAAAACUCUGUUAUUAGGGAAGAACAAAUGUGUAAGUAACUAUGCACGUCUUGACGGUACCUAAUCAGAAAGCCACGGCUAACUACGUG
This 497-nucleotide ribosomal RNA is filed under the name uncultured bacterium. Its description in RNAcentral is "partial 16S ribosomal RNA". It matches the Rfam family "Bacterial small subunit ribosomal RNA", at positions 28 to 507 of the family's 1533-position model. The record is from RNAcentral.